Molecule: long non-coding RNA, 501 nt
Filed under: Salmo salar (Atlantic salmon)
Lineage: Eukaryota; Metazoa; Chordata; Actinopteri; Salmoniformes; Salmonidae
Description: lncRNA (ENSSSAG00000116333.1, ENSSSAG00020043152.1)
Source: RNAcentral
GCUAACAUGUAGUUGUAGCUAGUUAAUAAAGAGUUAUGUUAAGAAACAUCCUGUAGUUCUGCGUUUUAUUAUUUUGUACAAAGCGUACAAAACAAGACAUUUUCCACACAGACUGUGUGUGGAAAAUGAUUUAAGACAGACUGAGACUCUCUCCAAUACAACCCAACAUUGCAGAGUUAUGUGCAUCCUUUCAAGCACACCAUUCUCAUUAACCUGUGACCAGCUCCCGUAUCUUUCUGGGCCAUGGCCUCAGUGGACCUGCUGUGACUUGGGGCCAAGGCCAGUCCACUGAUACUUUGUCAGCUGCAUUUACAUAACACUGGCUAACUGUGAACAUAAAUGAACACCUUCCACGAUUGACACCUCCUCACAAAGCAAUUGUCUUGAGGAUGCAGAGGUUGUAUUGUUACACAACUGAUGGCAACAAAUCAACACUAGAGCCAACAUUGACAUAAACACUGGGGACACACUGGUGAGGGAUGCACAGACUGCUCUCUUCAA